GCUUUACUGUAGCCUGGUAUUGGGUUCGGGCUUUGCUUGCGCAGGAUAGGUGGGAGACUAUGAGACUUUCCUUGUGGGGAAAGUGGAGUCAAUGGUGAGAUACCACUCUAGCAAGGCUAGAAUUCUAACCCUGACCCAUUAUCUGGGGAGGGAACAGUAUCAGGUGGGCAGUUUGACUGGGGCGGUCGCCUCCUAAAUGGUAACGGAGGCGCACAAAGGUUCCCUCAGGCUGGUUGGAAAUCAGCCGGAGAGUGUAAAGGCAUAAGGGAGCUUGACUGCAAGAGCUACAACUCGAGCAGGGUGGAAACACGGUCUUAGUGAUCCGACGGCACUGCGUGGAAGGGCCGUCGCUCAACGGAUAAAAGUUA
RNAcentral lists this ribosomal RNA (368 nucleotides) under Oculatella neakameniensis str. KOVACIK 1990/37. Its description in RNAcentral is "Oculatella neakameniensis str. KOVÁČIK 1990/37 bacterial LSU rRNA". It matches the Rfam family "Bacterial large subunit ribosomal RNA", at positions 2098 to 2465 of the family's 2925-position model. RNAcentral also lists the same sequence under 1 other name. Lineage: Bacteria; Bacillati; Cyanobacteriota; Cyanophyceae; Oculatellales; Oculatellaceae. The record is from RNAcentral.